GGGCGAUUGGUUUAGGGGUAUAAUGUCCGCUUCGCAGUUCCAGUAACAUGAUUGCGGAAGGUCCUGGGUUCGAUUCCCAGAUCGUCCA
RNAcentral lists this transfer RNA (88 nucleotides) under Colletotrichum chlorophyti. It matches the Rfam family "tRNA". From Rfam's summary of the family: Transfer RNA (tRNA) molecules are approximately 80 nucleotides in length. The record is from Rfam by way of RNAcentral. Lineage: Eukaryota; Fungi; Ascomycota; Sordariomycetes; Glomerellales; Glomerellaceae.